UAGCAUAUAGAUCAUCUGAAUAUAUA
RNAcentral lists this non-coding RNA (26 nucleotides) under Cricetulus griseus (Chinese hamster). Lineage: Eukaryota; Metazoa; Chordata; Mammalia; Rodentia; Cricetidae. The record is from RNAcentral.